RNAcentral lists this ribosomal RNA (253 nucleotides) under uncultured bacterium. Its description in RNAcentral is "partial 16S ribosomal RNA". It matches the Rfam family "Bacterial small subunit ribosomal RNA", at positions 524 to 776 of the family's 1533-position model. The record is from RNAcentral.
UACGUAGGUGGCGAGUGUUGUCCGGAUUUACUGGGCGUAAAGGGAGCGUAGGCGGACUUUUAAGUGAGAUGUGAAAUACUCGGGCUCAACUUGAGUGCUGCAUUUCAAACUGGAAGUCUAGAGUGCAGGAGAGGAGAAUGGAAUUCCUAGUGUAGCGGUGAAAUGCGUAGAGAUUAGGAAGAACACCAGUGGCGAAGGCGAUUCUCUGGACUGUAACUGACGCUGAGGCUCGAAAGCGUGGGGAGCAAACAGG